Molecule: ribosomal RNA, 412 nt
Filed under: uncultured microorganism
Description: bacterial SSU rRNA
Rfam family: Bacterial small subunit ribosomal RNA
Source: RNAcentral
GAGUUUGAUCAUGGCUCAGGACGAACGCUGGCGGCGUGCUUAACACAUGCAAGUCGAACGGAGCGCCUAUGAAGGAGAUUUCGGUCAACGGAAUAGGUUGCUUAGUGGCGGACGGGUGAGUAACGCGUGAGGAACCUGCCUUUCAGAGGGGGACAACAGUUGGAAACGACUGCUAAUACCGCAUAACACAUAGGUGUCGCAUGGCAUUUAUGUCAAAGAUUUAUCGCUGAAAGAUGGCCUCGCGUCUGAUUAGCUAGUUGGUGAGGUAACGGCUCACCAAGGCGACGAUCAGUAGCCGGACUGAGAGGUUGGCCGGCCACAUUGGGACUGAGAUACGGCCCAGACUCCUACGGGAGGCAGCAGUGGGGAAUAUUGGGCAAUGGGCGCAAGCCUGACCCAGCAACGCCGCGUG